This 468-nucleotide ribosomal RNA is filed under the name uncultured bacterium. Its description in RNAcentral is "partial 16S ribosomal RNA". It matches the Rfam family "Bacterial small subunit ribosomal RNA", at positions 28 to 507 of the family's 1533-position model. The record is from RNAcentral.
GACGAACGCUGGCGGCGUGCUUAACACAUGCAAGUCGAACGGAAAGGCCCUGCUUUUGUGGGGUGCUCGAGUGGCGAACGGGUGAGUAACACGUGAGUAACCUGCCCUUGACUUUGGGAUAACUUCAGGAAACUGGGGCUAAUACCGGAUAGGAGCUCCUGCUGCAUGGUGGGGGUUGGAAAGUUUCGGCGGUUGGGGAUGGACUCGCGGCUUAUCAGCUUGUUGGUGGGGUAGUGGCUUACCAAGGCUUUGACGGGUAGCCGGCCCGAGAGGGUGACCGGCCACAUUGGGACUGAGAUACGGCCCAGACUGCUACGGGAGGCAGCAGUGGGGAAUAUUGCACAAUGGGCGGAAGCCUGAUGCAGCAACGCCGCGUGCGGGAUGACGGCCUUCGGGUUGUAAACCGCUUUCGCCUGUGACGAAGCGUGAGUGACGGUAAUGGGUAAAGAAGCACCGGCUAACUACGUG